This is a long non-coding RNA of Saccostrea cuccullata (small rock oyster), 315 nucleotides long. RefSeq lists it as uncharacterized. The record is from RefSeq and is a predicted model, not a curated record. The transcript is spliced from 3 exons. Lineage: Eukaryota; Metazoa; Mollusca; Bivalvia; Ostreida; Ostreidae.
UUUUCUCUUCAAGGAAUUAUUGAGCUGUCCAGAUCAGACAAAGUUGAAAAGAUUGUUGGCGCUGCAGUAGGAUCAGAUUUUUCUGGUUUAAUUAUUGGUCUUUUGAUUGGCUUUAUAAUAAUGCACCUUAUUUUGAAAAGAUUUGGACAACAUAAUAGGAACAAUAGCGUAAUGAUGUCAGCACUGGAUGAUGUACCUUUUAGAGAUGAUGAUCGGUGAUACUUUAACGCAUUAACUUGAAUUAUCAUAUUUAUGCGAAUGGGAUACUUAUUAAAUAGUGAUUCUGUAAUGUUUUGAAGUUGUGAUUAUAUCAAU